Molecule: long non-coding RNA, 530 nt
Organism: Coturnix japonica (Japanese quail)
Lineage: Eukaryota; Metazoa; Chordata; Aves; Galliformes; Phasianidae
Source: RefSeq, a predicted model, not a curated record
CAUCACAUUAUUCUGCAUGACGUCAGCACUGAACUUUUAUCCCUCUCUGUGUCAGGUGUGGCCUGAUUUACUGCACACCAGUUCUUAUUUACUGCACCCUCCAAAUCCUCCUUGUGGUUUUCAGUAGAUAUUUAUUCAGGGUGACCAAACGGAUAGAUGAAAGAAGGAGAAAAAAGGAGAAUAGUGGCUGAAGAAUGAUGAAGCUUAAAAAUCUGAGCAGAGGAGGUUACGGGCAGAAGACCUGGUAAAAUGCAAAUUUCAUAUACAAAGAAUUGGUAACUAUAGUCUCUCAGGAAAGAAAGAAAAAAAACACAGACUAUGCCUGACUGACAUGGAAACUGAAGCAAGCACUGAAGGAAGCAAGCAGUAAGUGCCAAGAUCUCUGGCCUACAAAAUGUCUGCUAGAAGAGACAGAUUAUGUCCUGAUGACACCAUGCUUCUUUGCAGAAUGCAGCUCUGGAGCAGUGACACAUACUGCUGGGUUAACUCAGUGCAUGGAUAUGUUAAACAUAAAUGUAUGGUAUCAACCA